This 56-nucleotide transfer RNA is filed under the name Ovis aries (sheep). It matches the Rfam family "tRNA", at positions 8 to 63 of the family's 71-position model. From Rfam's summary of the family: Transfer RNA (tRNA) molecules are approximately 80 nucleotides in length. The record is from Rfam by way of RNAcentral. Lineage: Eukaryota; Metazoa; Chordata; Mammalia; Artiodactyla; Bovidae.
UGGCUCAGACGGUAAAGCGUCUGUUUACAAUGCAGGAGACCAGGGUUCGAUCCCUG